CCUACGGGUGGCAGCAGUGAGGAAUAUUGGUCAAUGGACGCAAGCCUGACCCAGCAACGCCGCGUGAAGGAAGAAGGCUUUCGGGUUGUAAACUUCUUUUGUCAGGGAAGAGUAGAAGACGGUACCUGACGAAUAAGCCACGGCUAACUACGUGCCAGCAGCCGCGGUAAUACGUAGGUGGCAAGCGUUGUCCGGAUUUACUGGGUGUAAAGGGCGUGUAGCCGGGUUGACAAGUCAGAUGUGAAAUCCUGCGGCUUAACCGCAGAACUGCAUGUGAAACUGUUGAUCUUGAGUACUGGAGAGGCAGAUGGAAAUCCUAGUGUAGCGGUGAAAUGCGUAGAUAUUAGGAGGAACACCAGUGGCGAAGGCGGUCUGCUGGACAGCAACUGACGGUGAGGCGCGAAAGCGUGGGGAGCAAACAGGAUUAGAUACCCGAGUAGUC
RNAcentral lists this ribosomal RNA (442 nucleotides) under uncultured bacterium. Its description in RNAcentral is "partial 16S ribosomal RNA". It matches the Rfam family "Bacterial small subunit ribosomal RNA", at positions 338 to 795 of the family's 1533-position model. The record is from RNAcentral.